UGGCGACCGGCGCACGGGUGAGUAACACGUAUCCAACCUGCCGAUGACUCGGGGAUAGCCUUUCGAAAGAAAGAUUAAUACCCGAUGGCAUAGUUCUUCCGCAUGGUGGAACUAUUAAAGAAUUUCGGUCAUCGAUGGGGAUGCGUUCCAUUAGGUUGUUGGCGGGGUAACGGCCCACCAAGCCUUCGAUGGAUAGGGGUUCUGAGAGGAAGGUCCUCCACAUUGGAACUGAGACACGGUCCAAACUCCUACGGGAGGCAGCAUG
RNAcentral lists this ribosomal RNA (265 nucleotides) under uncultured bacterium. RNAcentral describes it as "partial 16S ribosomal RNA". It matches the Rfam family "Bacterial small subunit ribosomal RNA", at positions 89 to 353 of the family's 1533-position model. The record is from RNAcentral.